UACGGGGGGGGCAAGCGUUGUUCGGAAUUCCUGGGCGUAAAGGGCUCGUAGGCGGCCAACUAAGUCGGAUGUGAAAUCCCCAGGCUCAACUUGGGAACUGCAUCCGAUACUGGAUGGCUUGAAUCCGGGAGAGGGAUGCAGAAUUCCAGGUGUAGCGGUGAAAUGCGUAGAUAUCUGGAGGAAUACCGGUGGCGAAGGCGGCAUCCUGGACCGGCAUUGACGCUGAUGAGCGAAAGCUAGGGGAGCAAACGGG
This 253-nucleotide ribosomal RNA is filed under the name uncultured bacterium. Its description in RNAcentral is "partial 16S ribosomal RNA". It matches the Rfam family "Bacterial small subunit ribosomal RNA", at positions 524 to 776 of the family's 1533-position model. The record is from RNAcentral.